RNAcentral lists this ribosomal RNA (1149 nucleotides) under Salmonella enterica. Its description in RNAcentral is "partial 23S ribosomal RNA". It matches the Rfam family "Bacterial large subunit ribosomal RNA", at positions 1 to 1191 of the family's 2925-position model. The record is from RNAcentral. Lineage: Bacteria; Pseudomonadati; Pseudomonadota; Gammaproteobacteria; Enterobacterales; Enterobacteriaceae.
GGUUAAGCGACUAAGCGUACACGGUGGAUGCCCUGGCAGUCAGAGGCGAUGAAGGACGUGCUAAUCUGCGAUAAGCGCCGGUAAGGUGAUAUGAACCGUUAUAACCGGCGAUUUCCGAAUGGGGAAACCCAGUGUGACUCGUCACACUAUCAUUAACUGAAUCCAUAGGUUAAUGAGGCGAACCGGGGGAACUGAAACAUCUAAGUACCCCGAGGAAAAGAAAUCAACCGAGAUUCCCCCAGUAGCGGCGAGCGAACGGGGAGGAGCCCAGAGCCUGAAUCAGCAUGUGUGUUAGUGGAAGCGUCUGGAAAGGCGCGCGAUACAGGGUGACAGCCCCGUACACAAAAGCGCAUAUGCUGUGAGCUCGAUGAGUAGGGCGGGACACGUGGUAUCCUGUCUGAAUAUGGGGGGACCAUCCUCCAAGGCUAAAUACUCCUGACUGACCGAUAGUGAACCAGUACCGUGAGGGAAAGGCGAAAAGAACCCCGGCGAGGGGAGUGAAAAAGAACCUGAAACCGUGUACGUACAAGCAGUGGGAGCACCCUUUGGGGUGUGACUGCGUACCUUUUGUAUAAUGGGUCAGCGACUUAUAUUCUGUAGCAAGGUUAACCGAAUAGGGGAGCCGGAGGGAAACCGAGUCUUAACCGGGCGUUAAGUUGCAGGGUAUAGACCCGAAACCCGGUGAUCUAGCCAUGGGCAGGUUGAAGGUUGGGUAACACUAACUGGAGGACCGAACCGACUAAUGUUGAAAAAUUAGCGGAUGACCUGUGGCUGGGGGUGAAAGGCCAAUCAAACCGGGAGAUAGCUGGUUCUCCCCGAAAGCUAUUUAGGUAGCGCCUCGUGAAUUCAUCUCCGGGGGUAGAGCACUGUUUCGGCUAGGGGGCCAUCCCGGCUUACCAACCCGAUGCAAACUGCGAAUACCGGAGAAUGUUAUCACGGGAGACACACGGCGGGUGCUAACGUCCGUCGUGAAGAGGGAAACAACCCAGACCGCCAGCUAAGGUCCCAAAGUCAUGGUUAAGUGGGAAACGAUGUGGGAAGGCCCAGACAGCCAGGAUGUUGGCUUAGAAGCAGCCAUCAUUUAAAGAAAGCGUAAUAGCUCACUGGUCGAGUCGGCCUGCGCGGAAGAUGUAACGGGGCUAAACCAUG